GCCCUGGUAGCUAAGUCGCCACAGCCCCGGUCUUGUAAUCCGGUUACGGAGGUUCAAAUCCUCCCCAGUGCA
RNAcentral lists this transfer RNA (72 nucleotides) under Ambassis gymnocephalus (bald glassy). RNAcentral's name for it is "tRNA-Thr". It matches the Rfam family "tRNA". Rfam says of the family: Transfer RNA (tRNA) molecules are approximately 80 nucleotides in length. The record is from RNAcentral. Lineage: Eukaryota; Metazoa; Chordata; Actinopteri; Ambassidae.